UACGGGGGGAGCAAGCGUUGUUCGGAUUUACUGGGCGUAAAGGGCGCGUAGGCGGUCAGCACAAGUCAGUUGUGAAAUCUCCGGGCUUAACUCGGAAAGGUCAACUGAUACUGUGCGACUAGAGUGCGGAAGGGGCAACUGGAAUUCUCGGUGUAGCGGUGAAAUGCGUAGAUAUCGAGAGGAACACCUGCGGCGAAGGCGGCUCUCUGGGACGGUACUGACGCUGAGACGCAAAAGCGUGGGGAGCGAACAGG
RNAcentral lists this ribosomal RNA (254 nucleotides) under uncultured bacterium. RNAcentral's name for it is "partial 16S ribosomal RNA". It matches the Rfam family "Bacterial small subunit ribosomal RNA", at positions 524 to 776 of the family's 1533-position model. The record is from RNAcentral.